CAGCAGCCGCGGUAAUACGAACGGCCCGAGCGUUAAUCGGAAUCACUGGGCUUAAAGCGUGCGCAGGCGGACCAGAAAGUACCUUGUGAAAUCCCUCGGCUCAACCGAGGAACUGCUUGGUAUGCUGCUGGUCUUGAGCGUGGUAGGGGCGGUCGGAACGAUAGGUGGAGCGGUGAAAUGCGUAGAUAUCUAUCGGAACGCCUAAGGUGAAGACAGGCCGCUGGGCCACUGCUGACGCUCAGGCACGAAAGCGUGGGGAGCGAACGGGAUUAGAUACCCCGGUAGUCCACGCCCUAAACGAUGUGCACUAGAUCAGGGAAGUACUGACGCUUUCCGGAUCGUAGGAAAACCGUUAAGUGCACCGCCUGGGGAGUACGGUCGCAAGGCUAAAACUCAAAGGAAUUGACGGGGGCUCACACAAGCGGUGGAGCAUGUGGCUUAAUUCGAAGCAACGCGAAGAACCUUAUCCUGGAAUUGACAUGUAUGAAUUAGCGUAUGGAAACAUGCGUGACGCGGCUUGCCGUGGAACAUACACAGGUGCUGCAUGGCUGUCGUCAGCUCGUGCUGUGAAGUGUCGGGUUAAGUCCCUUAACGAGCGAAACCCCUGUCGUUAGUUGCCAGCGAGUCAUGUCGGGGACUCUAACGAGACUGCCGGUGUCAAACCGGAGGAAGGUGGGGAUGACGUCAAGUCCUCAUGGCCUUUAUGUCCAGGGCUGCACACGUGCUACAAUGGCAUGUACAGAGCGACGCGAGACCGCGAGGUGGAGCAAAUCGCAAAAAACAUGCCCCAGUUCAGAUAGCAGUCUGCAAUUCGACUGCUUGAAGGUGGAAUCGCUAGUAAUCGCGUAUCAGCUACGACGCGGUGAAUACGUUCCUGAGCCUUGUACACACCGCCCGUCAAGUCAUGGAAGCCGGGAGUGCCCGAAGCCGCCCUGAAUCAAGGGUGUCUAAGGUAAGUUCGGUGACUGGGACUAAGUCGUAACAAGGUAGCCGUA
Molecule: ribosomal RNA, 995 nt
Filed under: uncultured Planctomycetota bacterium
Lineage: Bacteria; Pseudomonadati; Planctomycetota
Description: bacterial SSU rRNA
Rfam family: Bacterial small subunit ribosomal RNA
Source: RNAcentral